GAUGAACGCUGGCGGCGUGCCUAAUACAUGCAAGUCGAGCGAAGCGGGGACGGGUGAGUAACACGUGGAUAACCUCCUAUAAGACUGGGAUAACUUCGGGAAACCGGAGCUAAACGGGAUACUUAUAGAUGGCUCCGCGCUGCAUUAGAUAGGUGGUAAGGUAACGGCUUACCAAGGCAACGAUGCAUAGCCGACCUGAGAGGGUGAUCGGCCACACGGCAACUGAGAAGCGGUCCAGGCGCCUACGGGAGGCGGCAGUAGGGAAGCGGCCGCUAUGGGCGAUGGCCAGACGGCGCGACGCCGCGUGAGGGUGGAAGGUCUUCGGUUCUUAAAACUCUGUUAUUUGGGAAGCGGUACCUUAUCAGACAGCCACUGCUAACGGCGUGCUAGCAGCCGCGGUAAUUC
Molecule: ribosomal RNA, 405 nt
Filed under: uncultured bacterium
Lineage: Bacteria
Description: partial 16S ribosomal RNA
Rfam family: Bacterial small subunit ribosomal RNA
Source: RNAcentral